RNAcentral lists this ribosomal RNA (252 nucleotides) under uncultured microorganism. RNAcentral's name for it is "partial 16S ribosomal RNA". It matches the Rfam family "Bacterial small subunit ribosomal RNA", at positions 346 to 588 of the family's 1533-position model. The record is from RNAcentral.
GCGCAGCAGUCGCGAAUCUUCCACAAUGGGGAAACCCUGAUGGAGCGACGCCGCGUGCGGGAUGAAGGCCCUAUGGGUUGUAAACCGCUGUUCAGUGGAAAGAACAUCCUCCGGCUGAAUAGGUCGGAGGCCUGACGUUACCACUGCAGAAAGUCCCGGCCAACUCCGUGCCAGCAGCCGCGGUAAUACGGGGGGACGGAGCGUUGUCCGGAAUCAUUGGGCGGUAAAGGGCGCGUAGGCGGCGAGGAAAGU